Non-coding RNA from Pelobates cultripes (western spadefoot toad), 262 nucleotides. Lineage: Eukaryota; Metazoa; Chordata; Amphibia; Anura; Pelobatidae. The record is from the annotation of a GenBank genome assembly.
GAACUGAUAUCGGGGAUGUACAGAGACUUGAGCCCCAGACUUUCGAUGCUGAUAUCUCCGGCUCUGUACAUCCGAUUGCCCCGCUUUUUGCAGGGAUCCUAGGGGGGACCGGAGCUAUUAAUCCAUAUAAACUGUAACCCUGUAUGCCCUUCCUGUCCUGGGGUGCUGAGGCCCAAAGUUCACCCCUCCGUAUGUAAUGUGUACUCAGGCUUGUCCAUGUGUCCUGUUGGUAUCUCCCAGAGUGGGAGAUGGUUGUCUGUUC